UUACCAUGUUGAUCGAUCUCCA
This 22-nucleotide microRNA is filed under the name Brugia malayi. RNAcentral describes it as "bma-miR-5866". Lineage: Eukaryota; Metazoa; Nematoda; Chromadorea; Rhabditida; Onchocercidae. The record is from miRBase by way of RNAcentral. RNAcentral also lists the same sequence under 1 other name.